UCACUUUUGACCUCGGAUCAGGUAGGGAUACCCGCUGAACUUAAGCAUAUCAAUAAG
Molecule: ribosomal RNA, 57 nt
Filed under: Paraphoma chrysanthemicola
Lineage: Eukaryota; Fungi; Ascomycota; Dothideomycetes; Pleosporales; Phaeosphaeriaceae
Description: partial 28S ribosomal RNA
Source: RNAcentral